UGGCAGGUUGGGUAUGUGGCACUAUAGCUGCAAAGUGCUAUAUUGUCCUUUCCUCCUGCUGAGAGCAAUUGCUUCCCACAAUCUCUGUCUUACUCAAUUCUGUAGUAAGACAGGGACGCUUGGUCUCAAACAU
Molecule: small nucleolar RNA, 133 nt
Organism: Ictidomys tridecemlineatus (thirteen-lined ground squirrel)
Lineage: Eukaryota; Metazoa; Chordata; Mammalia; Rodentia; Sciuridae
Gene: SNORA63
Rfam family: Small nucleolar RNA SNORA63
About the family: E3 belongs to the H/ACA class of snoRNAs and is involved in the processing of eukaryotic pre-rRNA and has regions of complementarity to 18S rRNA.
Source: Ensembl